RNAcentral lists this ribosomal RNA (498 nucleotides) under uncultured bacterium. RNAcentral's name for it is "SSU rRNA". It matches the Rfam family "Bacterial small subunit ribosomal RNA", at positions 26 to 518 of the family's 1533-position model. The record is from RNAcentral.
AGAUUGAACGCUGGCGGCGUGCCUAACACAUGCAAGUCGAGCGGUAACAGGUGUAGCAAUACAUGCUGACGGGCGGCGAACGGGUGAGUAAUGCUUUGGAAUCUUCCCAGUAGUGGGGAAUAACCAGUCGAAAGAUUGGCUAAUACCGCAUACGUCUGUAAAGGGAAAGCGGGGGCUCGUAAGACCUCGCGCUAUUGGAUGAGCCAAAGUCGGAUUAGCUAGUUGGUGGGGUAAUGGCCUACCAAGGCGACAAUCCGUAGCUGGUCUGAGAGGACGACCAGCCACACCGGAACUGAGACACGGUCCGGACUCCUACGGGAGGCAGCAGUGGGGAAUAUUGGACAAUGGGGGAAACCCUGAUCCAGCGACGCCGCGUGUGUGAAGAAGGCCUGCGGGUUGUAAAGCACUUUUAGUGGGGACAAAAAGCUACGGAUUAAUACUCUGUGGUCUUGAUUUAACCCAAAGAAAAGCACCGGCUAACUCUGUGCCAGCAGCCGC